This 253-nucleotide non-coding RNA is filed under the name Pediculus humanus corporis (human body louse). The record is from RNAcentral. Lineage: Eukaryota; Metazoa; Arthropoda; Insecta; Psocodea; Pediculidae.
UCCGGGAGUGGUGGUGAACUCCUGUAGUCCAAUUAUUCGGAGGCUAGGUAAAGAGGAUGUUUUAGGGGGGUUGGGUUCUGGGAUUGGAUUUCCCACUUUGACUGGGCGUCCGCUAGGGGUUAACCUUUAACUUGGCCCGAGGUAGCACGGGUCGAGCCUGAAAAGCGGAAAAAUCGACCCAAAAGUCACCGAGUUGAGAGUUGUGGGAGUUUAAUUUCAACUCGUUCAAAAACAAGAACGGAUCUGUACCUAA